Molecule: ribosomal RNA, 253 nt
Filed under: uncultured bacterium
Lineage: Bacteria
Description: partial 16S ribosomal RNA
Rfam family: Bacterial small subunit ribosomal RNA
Source: RNAcentral
UACAGAGGAUGCAAGCGUUAUCCGGAAUGAUUGGGCGUAAAGCGUCCGCAGGUGGUUUUGUAAGUCUGCUGUUAAAGCGUUAGGCUCAACCUAAUAAGGGCAGUGGAAACUAUGAGACUAGAGUAUGUUAGGGGUAGAGGGAAUUCCCAGUGUAGCGGUGAAAUGCGUAGAGAUUGGGAAGAACACCGGUGGCGAAAGCGCUCUGCUAGGACAAUACUGACACUGAAGGACGAAAGCUAGGGGAGCGAAUGGG